GAUGAACGCUAGCGGCAGGCUUAACACAUGCAAGUCGAGGGGCAGCAUGAGACGGAGAUUCGUCGAAGUCUUGAUGGCGACCGGCGCAAGGGUGCGUAACGCGUGAGCAACUUGCCCGUUUCAGGGGGAUAACCGGUGGAAACGCCGACUAAUACCCCAUAGCAUCAGUUUGAGGCAUCUCAUGCUGAUUAAAGAAUUUCGGAAACGGAUAGGCUCGCGUGACAUUAGCUAGAUGGCGGGGUAACGGCCCACCAUGGCGACGAUGUCUAGGGGUUCUGAGAGGAAGGUCCCCCACACUGGAACUGAGACACGGUCCAGACUCCUACGGGAGGCAGCAGUGAGGAAUAUUGGUCAAUGGCCGAGAGGCUGAACCAGCCAUGCCGCGUGAAGGUCACGGCCCUAUGGGUCUUAAACUUCUUUUGUAAGGGAGCAAUAAGGUCUACGUGUAGACUGAUGAGAGUACCUUACGAAUAAGCAUCGGCUAACU
Molecule: ribosomal RNA, 487 nt
Filed under: uncultured bacterium
Lineage: Bacteria
Description: bacterial SSU rRNA
Rfam family: Bacterial small subunit ribosomal RNA
Source: RNAcentral